This 255-nucleotide ribosomal RNA is filed under the name Salmonella enterica subsp. enterica serovar Weltevreden. RNAcentral's name for it is "partial 16S ribosomal RNA". It matches the Rfam family "Bacterial small subunit ribosomal RNA", at positions 341 to 588 of the family's 1533-position model. The record is from RNAcentral. Lineage: Bacteria; Pseudomonadati; Pseudomonadota; Gammaproteobacteria; Enterobacterales; Enterobacteriaceae.
ACGGGAGGCAGCAGUGGGGAAUAUUGCACAAUGGGCGCAAGCCUGAUGCAGCCAUGCCGCGUGUAUGAAGAAGGCCUUCGGGUUGUAAAGUACUUUCAGCGGGGAGGAAGGUGUUGUGGUUAAUAACUACAGCAAUUGACGUUACUCGCAGAAGAAGCACCGGCUAACUCCGUGCCAGCAGCCGCGGUAAUACGGAGGGUGCAAGCGUUAAUCGGAAUUACUGGGCGUAAAGCGCACGCAGGCGGUCUGUCAAGU